Long non-coding RNA from Prunus persica (peach), 1139 nucleotides. RefSeq lists it as uncharacterized. Lineage: Eukaryota; Viridiplantae; Streptophyta; Magnoliopsida; Rosales; Rosaceae. The transcript has 4 exons. The record is from RefSeq and is a predicted model, not a curated record.
UAAUUAGUAGUUGAGACAAACAAUAUUUCUGUUUGGGUUUUAAUACCUAGGAAUGAAAUUUUAUUUUGGAUUUGGCCAAAGAGGAGGCCCAGAUUUGUUGGCCCACCUUAUAUUAAUCACUGAAAAGACAAUUAUACCCUUUUGUUUAAAAGAUUCAUUGGUUUCCCUUUUGUUUGUUUUUUGUUUUUUUUCGUAUUAGAUCUCUCUCCCACGCUGUCUCUACGCAGCAACGACGACCACAGCCUUCACCUGCGAUGGAAUUCUCAAGCUGCUCAUACCUUCGGCUUUCACCGGCAACUCCAAGGUCUUCUGGCUCAAGAUGAAGAGCAUUACGAUCGCUAUCUUGCGGAGUUCAAGAUCGGCGCUGAGCACAAUGACCAGUCAACCCUAUUUGAUCUCAUUUUGGAUGUAUAUGAACAGCAUAAAAAGUUUAUUUUACUUGGAGAGAGGGUUGUUCUUGUAACUCUUGCUUUUGAUCUUAAUGUAAACCAUCCAUAUAAACCGCUAGUAGAGGCAAUAAAGAAAUUCAAACUAGCACAUAGUGCCCUUGCUCAAGUUGCAUGGAAUUUUGUUAAUGACGGGAUCAAAUCAGGUGGUAACAAUUUGACUUUAAAAGGAUAGCCCCUCACAGGUGAAUAAAGGGCAAUGGAGUUAGUCCCCGAUUGGUCGGAGAUGGGUGGCGGCAGUUGGCGAUGGUUGGCCGGUGAUGGAUGGUGGCGGUAGGUGGCAACGGCUGGCCGGCAGUGGUGGCUGGCCUGUGGCAGCGGUGGUGGCAGCUAGCCGGAAGGAAGUUAUCCGGUGGUAGGUGGUGGUUGUUGGACGGCGACGACGGCGGUAGCUGGCCGGUGUUGGUGGUAGCUGACCGGAAGGGAGAUUGUCGGAGGUGGACAUGUGGCAUAGUGUGCUUGCUUUUAAAGGAGUGGCAUUGUGUGUAAUUUUGAUGUUUUUUAAUUACAUUAUUGUAAAAUUAGUACUACUUUUUGGUCUUUAACCUUAUGCUAAUUAGGUGAAAUUGUAUUCCUAUCUUCCAAAUUAGUAUAGUGUCUUAAAAUGAAAGCUCCCUAUUGUUAAUCACUCUUUAACCAAAGGUUUCAGUUCGGAUCGGAUUGGGAGAAUUAAAAAAUAAAAAAUGAUAAUUU